Molecule: ribosomal RNA, 477 nt
Filed under: uncultured organism
Description: partial 16S ribosomal RNA
Rfam family: Bacterial small subunit ribosomal RNA
Source: RNAcentral
UACACUCCUACGGGAGGCAGCAGUGGGGAAUAUUGCACAAUGGGCGCAAGCCUGAUGCAGCCAUGCCGCGUGUAUGAAGAAGGCCUUCGGGUUGUAAAGUACUUUCAGCGGGGAGGAAGGCAAUACGGUUAAUAACCGUGUUGAUUGACGUUACCCGCAGAAGAAGCACCGGCUAACUCCGUGCCAGCAGCCGCGGUAAUACGGAGGGUGCAAGCGUUAAUCGGAAUUACUGGGCGUAAAGCGCACGCAGGCGGUCUGUCAAGUCGGAUGUGAAAUCCCCGGGCUCAACCGGGGAACUGCAUUCGAAACUGGCAGGCUUGAGUCUUGUAGAGGGGGGUAGAAUUCCAGGUGUAGCGGUGAAAUGCGUAGAGAUCUGGAGGAAUACCGGUGGCGAAGGCGGCCCCCUGGACAAAGACUGACGCUCAGGUGCGAAAGCGUGGGGAGCAAACAGGAUUAGAAACCCCGGUAGUCCCAUGA